AGACUUAGGGCAUAAUUUCUAGCAUACAGCAUAUCUAAAGAGAACAGGAUACUUAGACUACCCAUUCAGGUGAGCCAGUAUAUUCCCCUUUUUUCCUUAAGCCACCUUAAGGUGGGUUUCUUUUAUUUGCAGUGAAGCAAGUCCUAAAUUAUAAUAACAGUGGCUUCUGGAAGUGGGGUUUUAUAAGUGACAUCCUGAAAAGUAGAACUGGCUGAACCAUAGUGGGGUGCAGAGUACCAAGAACUCCUCUGUUCUUGACUGGGAAGUUGGAAACCCAGUCGCGUCUCACAUAGCAGUUGAGUUGAACUGUGACAUGUACUGUCUUGAGACUCAAACUAUGUUCUCGUGAUAGAAAACAGAGUCAUAUUGGAGAGGAUCGGCUACUUCAUAAGGCCUUCAGUAAUGUCCUAUAAGGACGAAGCAAGCUGAGUGGGAAGAAAACAGAUCCCUCCCUGUCUAGGAGGGCUGAGAGUGUGGUGGGUUGGAAAAGUGGAAUCCUCUAUCCCAAGCUAAACUUAGCAUGAGUUUAGCAUGAGGAAUGGUAAAAGCACAGAGGGAAAAAAGACGGGAACUUAGAGGUAGCCUGAUGUCCCAACACUUUCCAACAUCCUGUUUCCACAGCAUAAAUAGCUAUCCUUUGAGAUGCAGCCAGGAAACAAAAGGCAUUUUAACUUUGCCCCUCGCCCCCUGACCUCUCCCCCCCUCAAUGUAUCAGCAGCACAAUGGAUAGAACAGGACACUUGCUGCUAAGGACCAGGAUCUUCAGACGGUGGUUGAGAUUUAAGGACCCAUAAUUCUCAGUUUAGAUUUAACUGAAUGCAAAUCAACCAAGAGCUUACUAAAGUUUUAGAAAAUUGUAUCCUGAGCAAUACAAAGCCUGACAAAUAACAAUCUGUGACAAAGUGAUCAACUCCAGUUGCAGCCCCAUGAACUUGCUAGGAGGAGGGGAGCAGCUCUGAGAAGGGAAAGCCACCCAGUGGCCUUCUUAGCUUCAGCCACAGGUCAAUAGACAAGGGGGUCCAGGGAGGAGCAGGGGAGGCCAGACCAGUCAGCCUCCAUUGCAGGGGAAAGGCGUCCUGGUUAUCUGUGUCCCCACCCCACCCUGUCAUCCCCACCCAUACAUGUGUUAGUGUAAAUGCUACACUGUCAUCACAAAGUGCUGUUUCCCUUCUCUCUUUUUCUAAAAGGGAGCUCUUCAUUAUAGCUAUCUUUUUUUUCCAUCACCCCCAUGGAUCAUGUGUGUUGGGGAGUGGGGAUUAAAUAUGUCACUUAGCCAUGAGUUUCUGGACAAAGGAAACUUAACUUGUAUAGGAAUCACCUAGAGGGCUUAUAAAAGCCCAGUGACCAAGCUCCACCCCCAAAGUUUCUAAUUCAGUUGGUCAGGAGUAGACCCUAGAUUUUGCAUUUCUAACAAGUGCUAAGGUGACAUGGAUGCUGUGAUUGUUUUGCUUUAUUUUGCUUUGUUUUGAAUUUCUCAGGUAAUUCUAAUUUGCAGACCAGGAUUGAGAAGCUGGGUUUUGGACCCUCUAAUCUAACAAGCAUGUAUUGAACACAUACUGUAUGCUAGGCCUAGAGCUAGGUCCAGGGCAUGCGUAUAAUAUACAUGUGCAUUCGUAUGUAUAUGUAUAUGUGCAUGUAUAUAUGAACAAGAAAAAGUGCCUGCUCCUGACACAAUCAUCACCUAAUAGAGAAGACAUGUAAACUGAUAAAUUUCAUACAGGGUAAUGUCUGCUAUGAUGAAGGUAGCCCACAGUUCAAAGGAGGAGGUGGAAAACUCACAGGGGAGGUCAGAUAGGACUCCAGAAGGAGGAAGACUUUGAUCUAAGCCUUAAAGAAUGAGUGGGACUUUCCAGGGGGCAUUUCAGACAAAAGAAACAGCAUGUGCAAGGGCACUGGGGCAUAGAACAGAAGCACGUGAAAUUGCACGAUGAGGACAUUACAAGAAGUCUGAUGUGGCCGAAGUGUCAGAAAUGAGAUGGCAGGGAUGGGAUCUGCCUCUGGAGAGACAGCCUGAGAUGCAGCCCAUCUCAUGGGAGAAGCCUAAAGAGUUAAAAUCAUUUAAAUAGAGUUUUGUCCACCAAGCCAUGGUGGUAAGAUUGGUCAGAAUCUCCCCUGAUCUCAGUGCCUAGUGGAGAAUGGCCACACGGGGGGAGAAUGAGGUGCACACAGAAAGCUCUGGCAGAAGAUGGAGGACCAGUGGCUGAGGUUUCCAGAAGGUUCCACACACACUUUUUUGAAGGGAGAGCUUGACACCCAUGGAUGUCUAAUCCACCCACAGUCACACCUGAGCUGAGGGCAGCUGGCUCAAAGUUCCCAAGGAAUAAAGACCCAUGGCCUGUCCCCACUCAAGCUAGGAGGCUUCCACCUCAGCCUGUGGGCCUGACUGGCAGAGGAGGCUGGCGGGGGAUGCCCUACACCCUAGACCACCCUAUGCUUGCAGCCCUCGGAGCCAAUGUGCCAACACACAGCUGCUGACUUUCUCCCCCCUCACGUUUGGCUGGAACAUUUUGCACUUUUCUUCUCCAACUCUUUCAAAGCAAGUCAUUUUCCUCCUCUGGAAGGUUGCCCAUUGUUCAUUUGACAUUAAAGAUAGGUCUUCACUGUUUUCUCUUAAGGCAGCAAUUGGGGAAGUUAAGCUGUAUUAUGCGGACUUGUCAGAAGGAUACAACAUUAUACAAAGGAAUGAUGUGAAACAAAAAUUGCUCUCUUCAACCUUCCCAGCCUCUCCCGCAUACAAAUUUCAAACCAUUUUCUGCCCUCAUGUGUGCCUGGCAUAGCCUGAAAUUGUGGGUAACUGAAGGGAGCGGUGGGAUUUGUGGUCCUUCGGGCAGUCAAGGAGGCCUCGUGGUUCUGGGAAUCGCUCAGUGGACAGGGAGCCUGAUGACGGUGGAGGCUGGGGCUGGUGAACAGGGAAACUAAUGAGGAAACGCUCCCUCCCCUCUUUUUUCUUAGGAAUACGUGGUUAACGAAUCCAACUAGGAAGCUUGAGGUUGCAGGUUUGAUCCCCGGCUUCACUCAGUGGGUUAAGGAUCCGGUGUUGCUGUGAGCUGUGGUGUAGGUCACAGACAUGGCUAGGAUCUGGCUUUGCUGUGGCUGUGGCGUAGGCUGGCGGCUACAGCUCCGAUUAGACCCCUAGCCUGGGAACCUCCAUGUGCUGCAGGUGCAGCCCGAGAAAAG
Molecule: long non-coding RNA, 3177 nt
Filed under: Sus scrofa (pig)
Lineage: Eukaryota; Metazoa; Chordata; Mammalia; Artiodactyla; Suidae
Description: lncRNA (ENSSSCG00000058964.1)
Source: RNAcentral